AUUAGGAAUCUUGCACAAUGGGCGAAAGCCUGAUGCAGCGACGUCGCGUGGGGGAGGAAGGCUUUCGGGUUGUAAACCCCUUUUGCUCAGGAAGAAACAAAUGACGGUACUGGGUGAAUAAGCCCCGGCUAACUACGUGCCAGCAGCCGCGGUAAUACGUAGGGGGCGAGCGUUGUCCGAAGUUACUGGGCGUAAAGCGCGCGUAGGCGGGUUGGCAAGUCUGCUGUGAAAGCCCGGGGCUUAACUCCGGAGGGUCGGUGGAUACUGCCAGUCUUGAAGGUGCUAGGGAGAGAUGGAAUUACCGGUGUAGCGGUGAAAUGCGUAGAUAUCGGUAGGAACACCAGUGGCGAAGGCGGUCUCUUGGGGCAUUCUUGACGCUGAGGCGCGAAAGCUGGGGGAGCGAACGG
Molecule: ribosomal RNA, 407 nt
Filed under: uncultured bacterium
Lineage: Bacteria
Description: bacterial SSU rRNA
Rfam family: Bacterial small subunit ribosomal RNA
Source: RNAcentral